UUGUGAUGAGGUGAGUUACUUACACAUAAGACCUGACUUUUAUUGCAAUAUUAUUUAUUAUAUUAUUGUGUGUGUGUAUGAUGAUAGUGUGUAGUGAUCUUGCAGUGUUAUGGUAUGUCCGAGCAUACUAGCCCUACGACGGCAGUACGUCUUGGGUUCAGUGACAGUGACUGCUAGGAUGCUUGUGUGUGUAUGUAUACUGCACAUAGCUGUUGUUAA
Aricia agestis (brown argus) is the source of this 219-nucleotide long non-coding RNA. RefSeq lists it as uncharacterized. The record is from RefSeq and is a predicted model, not a curated record. The transcript is spliced from 3 exons. NCBI's taxonomy places the organism in Eukaryota, Metazoa, Arthropoda, Insecta, Lepidoptera, Lycaenidae.